RNAcentral lists this ribosomal RNA (1554 nucleotides) under Escherichia coli. RNAcentral describes it as "bacterial SSU rRNA". It matches the Rfam family "Bacterial small subunit ribosomal RNA". Lineage: Bacteria; Pseudomonadati; Pseudomonadota; Gammaproteobacteria; Enterobacterales; Enterobacteriaceae. The record is from RNAcentral.
AAAUUGAAGAGUUUGAUCAUGGCUCAGAUUGAACGCUGGCGGCAGGCCUAACACAUGCAAGUCGAACGGUAACAGGAAACAGCUUGCUGUUUCGCUGACGAGUGGCGGACGGGUGAGUAAUGUCUGGGAAACUGCCUGAUGGAGGGGGAUAACUACUGGAAACGGUAGCUAAUACCGCAUAACGUCGCAAGACCAAAGAGGGGGACCUUCGGGCCUCUUGCCAUCGGAUGUGCCCAGAUGGGAUUAGCUAGUAGGUGGGGUAACGGCUCACCUAGGCGACGAUCCCUAGCUGGUCUGAGAGGAUGACCAGCCACACUGGAACUGAGACACGGUCCAGACUCCUACGGGAGGCAGCAGUGGGGAAUAUUGCACAAUGGGCGCAAGCCUGAUGCAGCCAUGCCGCGUGUAUGAAGAAGGCCUUCGGGUUGUAAAGUACUUUCAGCGGGGAGGAAGGGAGUAAAGUUAAUACCUUUGCUCAUUGACGUUACCCGCAGAAGAAGCACCGGCUAACUCCGUGCCAGCAGCCGCGGUAAUACGGAGGGUGCAAGCGUUAAUCGGAAUUACUGGGCGUAAAGCGCACGCAGGCGGUUUGUUAAGUCAGAUGUGAAAUCCCCGGGCUCAACCUGGGAACUGCAUCUGAUACUGGCAAGCUUGAGUCUCGUAGAGGGGGGUAGAAUUCCAGGUGUAGCGGUGAAAUGCGUAGAGAUCUGGAGGAAUACCGGUGGCGAAGGCGGCCCCCUGGACGAAGACUGACGUUGAGGCUCGAAAGCGUGGGGAGCAAACAGGAUUAGAUACCCUGGUAGUCCACGCCGUAAACGAUGUCGACUUGGAGGUUGUGCCCUUGAGGCGUGGCUUCCGGAGCUAACGCGUUAAGUCGACCGCCUGGGGAGUACGGCCGCAAGGUUAAAACUCAAAUGAAUUGACGGGGGCCCGCACAAGCGGUGGAGCAUGUGGUUUAAUUCGAUGCAACGCGAAGAACCUUACCUGGUCUUGACAUCCACGGAAGUUUUCAGAGAUGAGAAUGUGCCUUCGGGAACCGUGAGACAGGUGCUGCAUGGCUGUCGUCAGCUCGUGUUGUGAAAUGUUGGGUUAAGUCCCGCAACGAGCGCAACCCUUAUCCUUUGUUGCCAGCGGUCCGGCCGGGAACUCAAAGGAGACUGCCAGUGAUAAACUGGAGGAAGGUGGGGAUGACGUCAAGUCAUCAUGGCCCUUACGACCAGGGCUACACACGUGCUACAAUGGCGCAUACAAAGAGAAGCGACCUCGCGAGAGCAAGCGGACCUCAUAAAGUGCGUCGUAGUCCGGAUUGGAGUCUGCAACUCGACUCCAUGAAGUCGGAAUCGCUAGUAAUCGUGGAUCAGAAUGCCACGGUGAAUACGUUCCCGGGCCUUGUACACACCGCCCGUCACACCAUGGGAGUGGGUUGCAAAAGAAGUAGGUAGCUUAACCUUCGGGAGGGCGCUUACCACUUUGUGAUUCAUGACUGGGGUGAAGUCGUAACAAGGUAACCGUAGGGGAACCUGCGGUUGGAUCACCUCCUUACCUUAAAGAAGC